UACGGGGGGGGCAAGCGUUGUUCGGAAUUACUGGGCGUAAAGGGCUCGUAGGCGGCCAACUAAGUCGGAUGUGAAAUCCCAAGCUUAACUUGGGAACUGCAUCCGAUACUGGAUGGCUUGAAUCCGGGAGAGGGAUGCAGAAUUCCAGGUGUAGCGGUGAAAUGCGUAGAUAUCUGGAGGAAUACCGGUGGCGAAGGCGGCAUCCUGGACCGGCAUUGACGCUGAGGAGCGAAAGCUAGGGGAGCAAACGGG
RNAcentral lists this ribosomal RNA (252 nucleotides) under uncultured bacterium. Its description in RNAcentral is "partial 16S ribosomal RNA". It matches the Rfam family "Bacterial small subunit ribosomal RNA", at positions 524 to 776 of the family's 1533-position model. The record is from RNAcentral.